Molecule: long non-coding RNA, 919 nt
Filed under: Gallus gallus (chicken)
Lineage: Eukaryota; Metazoa; Chordata; Aves; Galliformes; Phasianidae
Description: lncRNA (ENSGALG00010022423.1)
Source: RNAcentral
GGCUCUCCCUGCAUCCCCCCUCUGGGGCUGGCAAUCCCCUCCCUCCAGCUCCAGGGCUGAGCAUCCCUCCUGCCCAAAGUCCCUUCCUCAGGCUGCGGGCAGGCUGCAGGGCAGCAGUUCCCCAGUUCCUCUGCCCGCCGUGCUGCCUGCAGAUCCCCAGCACCGUGCCUGCCUUGGAGGGCAUCCAGCACGCUCACUGCAACCCCAGACAAACAAACAGCAGUUGUGCAAGGGUGCGGGGCAGGCAUCUCCGGCAGGAAACAAAGCGCAGGACUUGCUCUAUUUUAAUCCUGCCAAGGGUCUUCUUGGAAGCGAGGCAGAGCCCGGCUGUGCAGAGUUAAGAAUGAAACCCUAUUUUUAGCCUGUCCCCGGUGAGCCAUCUCCAGGGAAGAACCGAAGCCCAGAUCGGUGUGGUCUCCUGCUGGUGACCUCCAAGCACCCAAAAGUGAAGGAACCACAGAGCAUCUGGGGCUGAGUGAGCAACCUCACUGCAAAACCCAACUGGGAGAGAUGGAGCGAGCGCUGCGGGGACUUCGGGAGGCAUGUCUGCAGCAGAGAGAGGAAGGCUCGCGGUCCGAGUGCAGCUGCUCUGUGCUAUAGAUUGCACUCCCAGAUUGUCUUCCUGCCAGCUGCCCCCAACGCCAAACCGAAGGCUCCAGUGGGAAGAAGUGCUAAUUUAAGGAGCUCUCUCUGAAGCAAAGGCUCUUCACCCAGGAAGCCCAGCACAGCUCAAAUUAGCUUUGCUGCUGGCAACCUCAGCUGUAAAGCCAUGGUCUGAAACAGAAACACCUCCAGUCGGGAUCUCUCCUCAAUAAAAACUUAAUUUGCUGCUGCUUUGCCAUUCCCUUGCAAUGAUUUCAGAGGCCCCUGUGUAUGGAUCUGUCAAGAAGCAAAAUGCCAAGACAAAUUUAAAAGCAGC